Non-coding RNA from Triticum aestivum (bread wheat), 117 nucleotides. Lineage: Eukaryota; Viridiplantae; Streptophyta; Magnoliopsida; Poales; Poaceae. The record is from Rfam.
AUUGUACUCCCUCCGUCUGGAAAUACUUGUCGAAGGAAUGGAUGUAUCUAGACAUAUUUUAGUUCAAGAUACAUCCAUUUUAAUGUGACAAGUAUUUCCGGACGGAGGGAGUACAUA